AACAAACGCUGGCGGCGUGCCUAAUACAUGCAAGUCGAACGAAGAAAGCACUUCGGUGUUAUUAAGAGUGGCGCACGGGUGAGUAGCGCGUGGAUAAUCUGCCCUUGAGUGGGGAACAACCUAUCGAAAGGUAGGCUAAUACCGCAUAAGACCACAGAAGCUGCGGCUUCAGUGGUCAAAGAUUUAUCGCUUAAGGAUGAGUCCGCGUAGGAUUAGCUUGUUGGUGAGGUAAUGGCUCACCAAGGCUACGAUCUUUAGCUGGUUUGAGAGGAUGAUCAGCCACACUGGAACUGAGACACGGUCCAGACUCCUACGGGAGGCAGCAGUAGGGAAUGUUGCGCAAUGGGGGAAACCCUGACGCAGCAACGCCGCGUGAGUGAUGAAGGCUUUAGGGUCGUAAAGCUCUGUCGUAAAGGAAUAAUUUUGAAGGUACUUUACAAGAAAGGACCGGCUAACUCCGUGCCAGCAGCCGCGGUAAUACGGGGGGUCCAAGCGUUGUUCGGAAUCAUUGGGCGUAAAGCGGGUGUAGGCGGACCGAUAAGUCAGAAGUGAAAGCCCUGGGCUCAACCCAGGAAGUGCUUUUGAAACUAUCGGUCUUGAGUACAGUAGAGGAGAGUGGAAUUCCAGGUGUAGUGGUGAAAUACGUAGAUAUCUGGAGGAACAUCAGUGGCGAAGGCGGCUCUCUGGACUGUUACUGACGCUCAGACCCGAAAGCGUGGGGAGCGAACAGG
Molecule: ribosomal RNA, 731 nt
Filed under: uncultured bacterium
Lineage: Bacteria
Description: bacterial SSU rRNA
Rfam family: Bacterial small subunit ribosomal RNA
Source: RNAcentral